Molecule: long non-coding RNA, 1030 nt
Organism: Pyrus x bretschneideri (Chinese white pear)
Lineage: Eukaryota; Viridiplantae; Streptophyta; Magnoliopsida; Rosales; Rosaceae
Exons: 2
Source: RefSeq, a predicted model, not a curated record
UAAAAAUUUUCCUUAACCUUUAGUGGCAUACAACGGGCACACAACACACCCGAUGCACUCUUCCACUUCAUCCAUCCAGCUUGUAUUCUAUGAUUUAGGUCUUCAUCCAAUUCUCCGUUCUUUUGCAAGAUAGAUCUAAGAUAGCAAAACCAUUUGUAUCCAUUUUCUUGCCUCUUCCCUUCUCCGUGGUUGACCUUGACCGUUUGGAUUAAAAUGCGAUCAAAAUAUCUUGAUUCUUGAUGAGCAUUUCUAUCAUAAUACUCUCUGUUCAAGGUUAAUGUUAUUGACUAUGUUUAACUAUGAUUUUCCUUCAGAAAAUGUGAGAAUCAAUCCAAUGAAGCAGGGAUAUCAGGGGAAGAUGUCCAAGAUCCCCGUGUUGUGGUGCAAAUUUCAGUUGAAUCUGAUAUGACGGGUGAUGGCUUCCGCUGGAGGAAGUACGGGCAGAAGGUUGUUAAGGGGAAUCCAUAUCCCAGAAGUUACUACAGAUGUACCAGUCUCAAAUGCAAUGUGCGUAAGCAUGUCGAAAGAGUCUCGGAUGAUCCCAAAGCUUUCAUCACAACGUACGAGGGAAAGCACAACCACGACAUGCCACUGAGGAACGCAAACACAGGAGCAUCCAAAAAGGAUACAACUAAAGAAAAGCCAUAAAUGAGUGAUAACAUCGAACUCAAACUUCGGCAUCAAACUGUUUCAACCUCAUGUUUUAUCUGACAGAAAUGUCAGACGGGCUCCGAGAAAAAAUCAGACACGGAAAAUAAUUUGCUGCAGUGAUUCUGAUCCCCACCUUGGAUGGUCUGCUCUGCAAUGCUAAUAAUUUCCCUUGGGAAUCUCUUUGAUGGCUGCUUGAUGGAUUUGGAGACAUAAAAUGGUGAAAAUAUUUUUGCUAAUUUUCCCUCCUGUUGCUGCUUCCUUCAAUUAACGCAUCAGAGCAUUACAUUUUUUUUCUUUUCUAUUAAUUGUAAUCCACUGGGAAAUUUCACAUAACAAAACUUUGUUAGAAAUGUUAAUGGCAGUGAUUAGGUUGAUGACU